This 408-nucleotide ribosomal RNA is filed under the name uncultured bacterium. RNAcentral describes it as "partial 16S ribosomal RNA". It matches the Rfam family "Bacterial small subunit ribosomal RNA", at positions 28 to 526 of the family's 1533-position model. The record is from RNAcentral.
GACGAACGCUGGCGGCGUGCUUAACACAUGCAAGUCGAACGAAGUGGCGAACGGGUGAGUAACGCGUAAUCAACCUGCCCUUCAGAGGGAGACAACAGUUGGAAACGACUGCUAAUACCGCAAACUGAAGGAGGAGUUUGCGUCUGAUUAGCUAGUUGGUGGGGUAACGGCCCACCAUGGCGAUGAUCAGUAGCCGGGCUGAGAGGAUGAGCGGCCACAGGGGGACUGAGACACGGCCCAGACUCCUACGGGAGGCAGCAGUGGGGAAUCUUCCGCAAUGGACGAAAGUCUGAAGGAGCAACGCCGCGGGAGGGAUGACGGCCUUCGGGUUGUAAAGCUAUGUUAAUCGGGACGCGGUACCGGCAUAGAAAGCCACGGCUAACUACGUGCCAGCAGCCGCGGUAAUAC